This 874-nucleotide ribosomal RNA is filed under the name Dactylellina multiseptata. RNAcentral's name for it is "LSU rRNA". It matches the Rfam family "Eukaryotic large subunit ribosomal RNA", at positions 62 to 952 of the family's 3401-position model. Lineage: Eukaryota; Fungi; Ascomycota; Orbiliomycetes; Orbiliales; Orbiliaceae. The record is from RNAcentral.
AAACCAACAGGGAUUGCCUCAGUAACGGCGAGUGAAGCGGCAACAGCUCAAAUUUGAAAUCUGAGGUCUUCGACUUCCGAGUUGUAAUUUGAAGAGGAUGUUUCGGUUGGGACCUGGGCCUAAGUUCCUUGGAACAGGACGUCGUAGAGGGUGAGAAUCCCGUACACGGCUGCCGGUCUCCUUCCAUGUGAAGCUCCCUCGAAGAGUCGAGUUGUUUGGGAAUGCAGCUCAAAAUGGGUGGUAAAUUUCAUCUAAAGCUAAAUAUUGGCGAGAGACCGAUAGCGCACAAGUAGAGUGAUCGAAAGAUGAAAAGCACUUUGAAAAGAGAGUUAAACAGUACGUGAAAUUGUUGAAAGGGAAGCGCUUGCAAUCAGACUUGCCUGCGGUUGAUCAACGUUCCUUUUGGUUCGUGCACUCUGCCGUUGUGCAGGCCAGCAUCAGUUGGUGCGGUGGGACAAAGGUUUUGGGAAUGUGGCACCCCUCGGGGUGUGUUAUAGCCCAUUUCGUAAUGCCACCAGCGCCGAUUGAGGUCCGCGGUUCGUCCUAGGAUGCUGGCUUAAUGGUUGUAAGCGACCCGUCUUGAAACACGGACCAAGGAGUCUAACAUCUAUGCGAGUCUUUGGGUGUCAAACCCAUGGGCGAAAUGAAAGUGAACGGAGGUGGGAGUCCUUUGGAUGCACCAUCGACCGAUCCUGAUGUUCUCGGAUGGAUUUGAGUAGGAGCAUAGCUGUUGGGACCCGAAAGAUGGUGAACUAUGCCUGAAUAGGGUGAAGCCAGAGGAAACUCUGGUGGAGGCUCGCAGCGGUUCUGACGUGCAAAUCGAUCGUCAAAUUUGGGUAUAGGGGCGAAAGACUAAUCGAACCAUCUAGUAGCU